UCCGGUUUGUCACCGGCAGUCUCCCAUGAGUCCCCACCAUAACGUGCUGGCAACAUGGAACGAGGGUUGCGCUCGUUGCGGGACUUAACCCAACAUCUCACGACACGAGCUGACGACAGCCAUGCACCACCUGUCACCGGCCCAAAAGGACCCCACAUCUCUGCAGGUAAACCGGCAAUGUCAAGCCUUGGUAAGGUUCUUCGCGUUGCGUCGAAUUAAGCAACAUGCUCCGCCGCUUGUGCGGGCCCCCGUCGAUUCCUUUGAGUUUUAGCCUUGCGGCCGUACUCCCCAGGCGGGGUGCUUAAUGCGUUAGCUUCGGCACGGAAGGAGUCGACACCUCCCACACCUAGUACCCACCGUUUACGGCGUGGACUAC
RNAcentral lists this unclassified non-coding RNA (376 nucleotides) under uncultured Thermomonosporaceae bacterium. RNAcentral describes it as "contains 16S-23S intergenic spacer region". Lineage: Bacteria; Bacillati; Actinomycetota; Actinomycetes; Streptosporangiales; Thermomonosporaceae. The record is from RNAcentral.